GAGCAGGAAGAGUCCGAGCGGCGGGCGGAGUCUGCAGGAUGGCACCGGACCCCUGGUUCUCCACAUACGAUUCUACUUGUCAAAUUGCCCAAGAAAUUGCUGAGAAAAUUCAACAACGAAAUCAGUAUGAAAGAAAAGGUGAAAAGGCACCGAAGCUUACCGUGACAAUCAGAGCUUUGUUGCAGAACCUGAAGGAAAAGAUCGCCCUUUUGAAGGACUUAUUGCUAAGAGCUGUGGCAACACAUCAGAUAACACAGCUUGAAGGGGACCGAAGACAGAACCUCUUGGAUGAUCUUGUAACUCGAGAGAGACUACUUCUGGCAUCCUUUAAGAAUGAGGGUGCCGAACCAGAUCUAAUCAGGUCCAGCCUGAUGAGUGAAGAGGCUAAGCGAGGAGCACCCAACCCUUGGCUCUUUGAGGAGCCAGAGGAGACCAGAGGCUUGGGUUUUGAUGAAAUCCGGCAACAGCAGCAGAAAAUUAUCCAAGAACAGGACGCAGGCCUUGAUGCCCUUUCUUCCAUCAUAAGUCGCCAAAAACAAAUGGGGCAGGAAAUUGGGAAUGAAUUGGAUGAACAAAAUGAGAUAAUUGACGACCUUGCCAACCUGGUGGAGAACACAGAUGAAAAACUUCGCACUGAAACCAGGCGUGUAAACGUGGUGGACAGAAAGUCAACCUCUUGCGGACUUUUCUUUUUACUGGAGAAAGUUAUGAACAAAGCCAAGCUGAUGAUCAAAUCCCUUCCGGAACAGUGGUUGAGAUCUGACCUCCGCCCAAGCCAGCAAGCAGGGAUGAUCAUGGUGAUUUUACUGCUGCUCGUGGCUAUCGUGGUGGUUGCGGUCUGGCCGACUAAUUGAUGGCAGUAAAGAGACCACCAGCUGUGACACCUGCCAGUGACAGAUACAAGCCCAGCACCCUUUUGGGUUGCUGUGAGGACAGAGUGAGUUGGCACAAGCACAGAGCGCCCUGCUUGGCUCCACUGAAAGAAAGUUCCUUUUGGCUGAGGCGGGCAGAUCACCUGAGGUCGGGAGUUCGAGACCAGCCUGACCAACACGGAGAAACCCCAU
Piliocolobus tephrosceles (Ugandan red Colobus) is the source of this 1064-nucleotide RNA transcript. It is a transcript of the gene named syntaxin 8, with no coding region annotated. Lineage: Eukaryota; Metazoa; Chordata; Mammalia; Primates; Cercopithecidae. The transcript has 10 exons. The record is from RefSeq and is a predicted model, not a curated record.